UUAAUGAAGAGCUUAAGUGAUCUGAAAGGAAAACCAUCGGUCAAGUCGCUCAGUUCCAUUUCAGUUCUCUUUCUUGAACUCCAUUUUAUUUGAGAGUUCAUCUUAAAAAUUGUACUGAAUCGAUUCUAAGUGCAAAAAAAAACAUUCGAACUAAAUUGAUAUUAAUUGAAAAAUGAGGGCAACAAUAAUCAUUGUUUUGUUAGUUUUUUCUGUACAAAAUUCAACAGGUUUAACAUUUUAUCCAUCUUCGAAAAACUUAAAAGUCGCAAACCCCUUCAACUUUCAGACGGAUCUUCUAACGUGGAAAAAUAGCCCAGCUCAAUGCACACAAUCUUGUGAAACAAAAGGCGACACUGAGCAUCGGCGAGUGAUCAGGUUUGAAAAAAUAACUGGAAAGUGCGAAUGCCUUCUGGACAGCGAAACUGAGCCAUUCGAUGAUUCUACAUUAGCCAAGGAACUACGUGUAACAUACUUCUACCCAAGAAAUUCGAUAGUUUCUGGAAGCCAGUAAUUCAAGCAAAACGGGGAACUAACGACAAUCACAAAGCUCAAUUUGUAACAAAACCCUCUUUUUUCAUUCAUCAAAACCGUGCUUCAAUCUCCAGCAAAAAAGAAUGCCCUAUUCGAUUGUCGUCUGCUUAUAUCGAUGUGAACCCUACCUUCAGAUGAACAGGAUUGAACCCAUUUUUCAUAAACUGCAGCCUGGCUGAAUUUAAUUUGUGAGCAGUGAAAGCGGCCAAAUAGGCGGACGCUAAGCUCGGAUAAAUCUUUAAAAAAACUUUUUUGCAUUGCUCUCAGUUUACUGACAAAA
Molecule: long non-coding RNA, 811 nt
Organism: Symsagittifera roscoffensis
Lineage: Eukaryota; Metazoa; Xenacoelomorpha; Acoela; Convolutidae
Exons: 3
Source: RefSeq, a predicted model, not a curated record